RNAcentral lists this non-coding RNA (76 nucleotides) under Devosia sp. Root436. Its description in RNAcentral is "Alpha-proteobacteria SAM riboswitch aptamer". It matches the Rfam family "Alpha-proteobacteria SAM riboswitch aptamer". Rfam says of the family: This family is a riboswitch found predominantly in alpha-proteobacteria that binds S-adenosyl methionine (SAM). This SAM riboswitch is located upstream of the metA and metC genes in Agrobacterium tumefaciens, and other methionine and SAM biosynthesis genes in other alpha-proteobacteria. Lineage: Bacteria; Pseudomonadati; Pseudomonadota; Alphaproteobacteria; Hyphomicrobiales; Devosiaceae. RNAcentral also lists the same sequence under 1 other name. The record is from Rfam by way of RNAcentral.
UCACAGUCCAGUGGUGAUUUGGCCGGUCGCUUGCAGCCACUUAAAAGAAAUCGCUAAAGACCGUCGUGGGAACCGG